ACAUAAUUAUUGAAAGUCAUAAUGUAAUGAUUGUCAGAUUAUCAUUAGUCAUAAUUCUGAAACCGUUAACUUCUCAGGAUUUUCGUAAGGUUAUCCUAUAGAUAGGUUAGGUUAGGUUUGUUUUAUGGCAAUCCUGAAAAGUUACGCGUUUCUGAGAAAAACCAAAUUAUGACUAACGAAAAUGCGGACAAACAAUACAUUAUGACUUAAAACUUUAUGGGAAACAAUAGAGACC
Cydia pomonella (codling moth) is the source of this 235-nucleotide long non-coding RNA. RefSeq lists it as uncharacterized. The transcript has 2 exons. The record is from RefSeq and is a predicted model, not a curated record. Lineage: Eukaryota; Metazoa; Arthropoda; Insecta; Lepidoptera; Tortricidae.